Long non-coding RNA from Poecilia latipinna (sailfin molly), 1121 nucleotides. RefSeq lists it as uncharacterized. The transcript has 2 exons. The record is from RefSeq and is a predicted model, not a curated record. Lineage: Eukaryota; Metazoa; Chordata; Actinopteri; Cyprinodontiformes; Poeciliidae.
CGCUUGGCAUCCUGUCCAUCCAUGCUUUCUUUUUUUUUUUUGCGUUGACCUUUCUUUGUGGAAUCCUUUUGUCUCAGCUGAGGCUGAAGGGGUUUGCAUAAGGCCGGCUGCUGAUAAGCAUCGUACCGGGUUACAUAAAGGCACAACCUGCCGCACUUGCGUAACGAGGCCAAGCAGCUGUCGGCGAAAUUUAAACCGUGUCAGCAUCAACACCGAGGCUGGACGGGGAUCCGGGGUCAACCCAAACAAGCCCGACCGAUGGCAUCGCCUAAAGUUUUAUUGUCUGUGGGCAUCGGCUGAUGAGGAGGAGCCUCGCGUUAUUACCAUGAGACGGAGUCAGCAAAGCAGCUUUUGUUCAGAGGAACAGCUUAUUCAAGCGAAGGAAGCCUGAGAACAAGAUUUGGUUCACAAGAAUUUCUUUUUUCCAAGCCAAAGCCGACCGGACUGGCAGGAGGGCGAGAACCCCGCUUCACUAAACCCAGUGACGUCUUAAAGGGAUGCUUUUAGAUUUAUAAAGGGAUUGUGGGAUUGUGUUGAGCUGAUGUCUCUGAGCGUAUCGUUUUGUCAUGUUUUCUUUUUUUUUAAGCAACAUCUAGAUGCUUCAACUUAUCUCCAGCAGCAGUAGCUUAAAUGUCGGAUUUCUAGAGAAAGGAGGACAUAAAUGAAAUUGGAAAAGUUUAACUACAGGUCAGCAUUUCCCUCCAGUAAAAUCUUAACUGUAUUAAAACCAUUAAUGAAGAGGGAAAAUGUUGAGAAAACGUGUUUUGCUUUAUUUUACAGAUCCUUUCUGCUUUCAUUCUCUUGAUUCUUAAAUACCUUCUAUUGAGUUUUAUUAUACUAUAGGGAAUGAUAAAGGCCUGUCACUAGCUCAUUGCAAAUACUCUUGAAAUAUUUUACUUGGACAUGAAAGUAAUCCGGAAACUGACAGAAAAAUCAGAAAAAUUGAGCUAAACUGUGGAAUUUAGACGUGAUGAGGUGAGGUGGAGCUUGUCAUUUUUGAAGCCGUCCUCUGAUUUUGGUAAGCAUUCCUCUGUAUGAAGGCAGAAAUGUCUGACAUUGCCCAAACAUAAACACAGGACUUCUUGUAAAUAAUUUUAUCUAGAAAAAAAAAAAAAACUUUA